GAAAGUCCCGGUGUGAACUCCCCUACUGAUCUGACUCCAGCGGAUUCUCGAGAAGCCAAUUCUCUCUCUCGAUCUAGAUCUACUUUACCGACAAGAGCUCUUAAUGAAUGAGCAAUGAGUUUGAUUCUAACUAUUCAAAGCGGAGGAAAUAGAAUAUUAUAUAGCCUAUAGCUAUAGGGCUAGGCUCCGCUCCUCGCUCGAGCUACCAGCUUUCUUAGAUUUCAUUCCUGUUGACUAAUCCGAGUCCUUGAGAGCUUAGACGUCAGCGGGGAAGAACUCCGAAAGAAUUUCAUCGGUGAUAAGAGCUCUUAAUGAAUGAGCAAUGAGUUUUAUUCUAACUAUUCAAAGUAGAGGAAAUAGAAUAUUAUAUAGCCUAUAGCUAUAGGGCUAGGCUCCGCUCCUCGCUCGAGCUACCAGCUUUCUUAGAUUUCAUUCCUGUUGACUAAUCCGAGUCCUUGAGAGCUUAGACGUCAGCGGGGAAGAACUCCGAAAGAAUUUCAUCGGCUCCUCCUCUCUUGCCCUCUUGAUGGUAUCCAGUUGAAAUGGUUGCUGGAUUGCCCCUAGUUCAAGCUCUAAGUCAAGCAUUCAGGCACCAAAGACCUCUGACUACGCUCCUCAGCCU
RNAcentral lists this long non-coding RNA (622 nucleotides) under Nicotiana benthamiana. Its description in RNAcentral is "long non-coding RNA (NBEN_LNC010748)". Lineage: Eukaryota; Viridiplantae; Streptophyta; Magnoliopsida; Solanales; Solanaceae. The record is from RNAcentral.